AACCUUCUGUAUCCGUGAUUAGAUUUCGUCACACACCAGAUCACAAGGGUCGAUAAGACUAAAGAUAAGUGAAGCG
This 76-nucleotide microRNA precursor is filed under the name Schistosoma margrebowiei. RNAcentral describes it as "mir-3492 microRNA precursor family". It matches the Rfam family "mir-3492 microRNA precursor family". Lineage: Eukaryota; Metazoa; Platyhelminthes; Trematoda; Strigeidida; Schistosomatidae. The record is from Rfam by way of RNAcentral.